Molecule: ribosomal RNA, 469 nt
Filed under: uncultured bacterium
Lineage: Bacteria
Description: bacterial SSU rRNA
Rfam family: Bacterial small subunit ribosomal RNA
Source: RNAcentral
ACUCCUACGGGAGGCAGCAGUGGGAAUAUUGCACAAUGGGCGCAAGCCUGAUGCAGCCAUGCCGCGUGUAUGAAGAAGGCCUUCGGGUUGUAAAGUACUUUCAGCAGUGAGGAAGGUGGGUAUGUUAAUAGCAUACUCAUUUGACGUUAGCUGCAGAAGAAGCACCGGCUAACUCCGUGCCAGCAGCCGCGGUAAUACGGAGGGGGUUAGCGUUGUUCGGAAUUACUGGGCGUAAAGCGCGCGUAGGCGGACUGGAAAGUUGGGGUGAAAUCCCGGGGCUCAACCCCGGAACUGCCUCCAAAACUAUCAGUCUAGAGUUCGAGAGAGGUGAGUGGAAUUCCGAGUGUAGAGGUGAAAUUCGUAGAUAUUCGGAGGAACACCAGUGGCGAAGGCGGCUCACUGGCUCGAUACUGACGCUGAGGUGCGAAAGUGUGGGAGCAAACAGGAUUAGAUACCCUCGUAGGCUCUG